GUACCUCCUACCACUGCUAGAUAUAUAAAUCGCCAGAAGAGGAGCAAGAAAGGAAUCUGCAUCCAUUUGAUGCAUGCAGAGUAUGCCUUGGCGUUAGUUAUAUCAGAACUGAGAAGAACGGAAAAGAAAAUUACAUUACAGAGAAAAAGGUUAUGUCUCAAUGCAGCUUCCAAAAGGUUUUUGUUGCAACCAGAAUUUUCUCUCUUCCACUCGAUUCUGGCUCUUUCUCGUGAAUGGUAACCAACCAUCUUACAGCAAGAGCUACACGAGCCACUUUAUCAAUAACUUCAGGAGAAUCUCGGAUAAUGACUGUUCCUUCUGGACG
This 325-nucleotide long non-coding RNA is filed under the name Populus trichocarpa (black cottonwood). RNAcentral describes it as "long non-coding RNA (PTRI_LNC003271)". The record is from RNAcentral. Lineage: Eukaryota; Viridiplantae; Streptophyta; Magnoliopsida; Malpighiales; Salicaceae.